AAGGGUAUAGUUCAGUGGCAGAACGUAUGUUUAGCAUGCAUGAGGUCCUAGGUUCAAUGCCCAGUACCUCCA
This 72-nucleotide transfer RNA is filed under the name Camelus bactrianus (Bactrian camel). It matches the Rfam family "tRNA". Rfam says of the family: Transfer RNA (tRNA) molecules are approximately 80 nucleotides in length. Their secondary structure includes four short double-helical elements and three loops (D, anti-codon, and T loops). Lineage: Eukaryota; Metazoa; Chordata; Mammalia; Artiodactyla; Camelidae. The record is from Rfam by way of RNAcentral. RNAcentral also lists the same sequence under 2 other names.